RNAcentral lists this ribosomal RNA (206 nucleotides) under uncultured bacterium. Its description in RNAcentral is "partial 16S ribosomal RNA". It matches the Rfam family "Bacterial small subunit ribosomal RNA", at positions 568 to 774 of the family's 1533-position model. The record is from RNAcentral.
UCCGUAGACAGUAAAGUAAGUUAUUUGUUAAACCCUAAAGCUCAACUUUAGAAAGGCACUUAAGACUGCUUUACUUGAGUUUUUUUCGGAAAAGUAGAAUUCCAUGUUUAGGGAUAAUCCCCGUAGAUAUAUGGAGGAACACCAGUAGCGAAGGCGACUUUUUAGUGAAAACUGACGUUGAGGGACGAAAGUGUAGGGAGCAAACA